Molecule: ribosomal RNA, 446 nt
Filed under: uncultured bacterium
Lineage: Bacteria
Description: partial 16S ribosomal RNA
Rfam family: Bacterial small subunit ribosomal RNA
Source: RNAcentral
CCUACGGGAGGCUGCAGUCGAGAAUCAUUCACAAUGGGGGAAACCCUGAUGGUGCGACGCCGCGUGGGGGAAUGAAGGUCUUCGGAUUGUACACCCCUGUCAUGUGGGAGCAAAUUAAAAAGAUAGUACCACAAGAGGAAGAGACGGCUAACUCUGUGCCAGCAGACGCGGUAAUACAGAGGUCUCAAGCGUUGUUCGGAAUCACUGGGCGUAAAGCGUGCGGAGGCUGUUUCGUAAGUCGUGUGUGAAAGGCGCGGGCUCAACCCUCGGACGGCACAUGAUACUGCGAGACUAGAGUAAUGGAGGGGGAACCGGAAUUCUCGGUGUAGCAGUGAAAUGCGUAGAUAUCGAGAGGAACACUCGUGGCGAAGGCGGGUUCCUGGACAUUAACUGACGCUGAGGCACGAAGGCCAGGGGAGCGAAAGGGAUUAGAUACCCGAGUAGUC